AGAGCGGUACCAAAUCGAGGCAAACUCUGAAUACUAAACUGGUACUCGGCCAGUCAGACGGUGGGGGAUAAGCUUCAUCGUCAAGAGGGAAACAGCCCAGACCACCAGCUAAGGUCCCCAAAUGACUGCUAAGUGAUAAAGGAGGUGGGAGUGCAGUGACAACCAGGAGGUUUGCCUAGAAGCAGCCACCCUUAAAAGAGUGCGUAAUAGCUCACUGGCCUAGCGCUCCUGCGCCGAAAAUGAACGGGGCUAAGCAGUCUACCGAAGCUGUGGAUAUCCGCAAGGAUAUGGUAGGAGAGCGUUCUGUAAGCCUGUGAAGGUGUCUUGUAAAGGAUGCUGGAGGUAUCAGAAGUGCGAAUGCUGACAUGAGUAGCGAUAAUGCGGGUGAAAAGCCCGCACGCCGUAAGCCCAAGGUUUCCUGUUCAACGUUCAUCGGAGCAGGGUGAGUCGGCCCCUAAGGCGAGGCAGAGAUGCGUAGCUGAUGGGAAGCAGGUUAAUAUUCCUGCACCGUCGUUAGAG
Molecule: ribosomal RNA, 519 nt
Filed under: uncultured Herbaspirillum sp.
Lineage: Bacteria; Pseudomonadati; Pseudomonadota; Betaproteobacteria; Burkholderiales; Oxalobacteraceae
Description: bacterial LSU rRNA
Rfam family: Bacterial large subunit ribosomal RNA
Source: RNAcentral